Molecule: ribosomal RNA, 403 nt
Filed under: bacterium
Lineage: Bacteria
Description: partial 16S ribosomal RNA
Rfam family: Bacterial small subunit ribosomal RNA
Source: RNAcentral
UGGGGAAUAUUGCACAAUGGGGGAAACCCUGAUGCAGCGACGCCGCGUGAACGAAGAAGGUAUUCGUAUCGUAAAGUUCUGUCCUAUGGGAAGAUAAUGACAGUACCAUAGAAGAAAGCUCCGGCUAAAUACGUGCCAGCAGCCGCGGUAAUACGUAUGGAGCGAGCGUUGUCCGGAAUUAUUGGGCGUAAAGGGUACGCAGGCGGUUUAAUAAGUCGAAUGUUAAAGAUCGGGGCUCAACCCCGUAAAGCAUUGGAAACUGAUAAACUUGAGUAGUGGAGAGGAAAGUGGAAUUCCUAGUGUAGUGGUGAAAUACGUAGAUAUUAGGAGGAAUACCAGUAGCGAAGGCGACUUUCUGGACACAAACUGACGCUGAGGUACGAAAGCGUGAAGAGCAAACAGG